Molecule: ribosomal RNA, 244 nt
Filed under: uncultured Peptostreptococcus sp.
Lineage: Bacteria; Bacillati; Bacillota; Clostridia; Peptostreptococcales; Peptostreptococcaceae
Description: partial 16S ribosomal RNA
Rfam family: Bacterial small subunit ribosomal RNA
Source: RNAcentral
AACGCGUGGGUAACCUGCCCUAUACACAUGGAUAACAUACUGAAAAGUUUACUAAUACAUGAUAAUAUAUAUUUACGGCAUCGUAGAUAUAUCAAAGUGUUAGCGGUAUAGGAUGGACCCGCGUCUGAUUAGCUAGUUGGUGAGAUAACUGCCCACCAAGGCGACGAUCAGUAGCCGACCUGAGAGGGUGAUCGGCCACAUUGGAACUGAGACACGGUCCAAACUCCUACGGGAGGCAGCAGUG